Molecule: long non-coding RNA, 3098 nt
Organism: Oncorhynchus keta (chum salmon)
Lineage: Eukaryota; Metazoa; Chordata; Actinopteri; Salmoniformes; Salmonidae
Exons: 5
Source: RefSeq, a predicted model, not a curated record
AUGUGUGCCCUAUGUUACCAUGUCUGUUGGUCUUGUGAGCACCUGUGCUGUCGUAUGGGCUUACAUGCAACGUGUUAUUGGUUUACGGGUCACGGCCUGUGUAUUAUUUUGAGGUUUACACCUUACGCUUUUGUUUGGGUGGAGAAAAUACUGUCCUGCGCCUGUCUCCGAUCAUUAUACAACGUGACACCAUGGUGCUGUAAAGAAAGCUAUGCUGUUGGGACAACUUGAUUAUGGAGGAUUCGGACUACUUUGAGCAGUUCCCAGAGGAUGAAGGUAAAGCAGGACUGCUGCAUGUGACUAUCAGAGUUUUUACAUAGUUGUAAAAGGAUGAAACAUAAAAGAAUGAAGCGUUGACUACGCUGGUGCCAGAGAUGGUGAAGCCCACUGCUGUGUGCCCAGUCAUUCUUCAACGAGAGCUCGACUUCGAGACUGCCAAUGACAGACCUAUUUCUCCUCUCCUAGCCAACCUUCCAUCAGCAGAUGGAACACUGUCCAGUACCACUAUCACUGGGUGAACAAUAACCUCAUGUGCCUUCCACAGCACAAAUCAAUGAAGUGCUAUCAUACCUGUAGCAUCCCAAGUCAACCAACUGACAACUGAACCUUCACCGGAACUGGACUGUUAAAUAGCGAAACUCAACGACCAACCCCAGGAGGAGCCCAAAGAUAGAAGUACCCCCACACCUCUGAGCUUGUCUCAAACAUCACUCCACAGCAGCAUGGCUGAAACCUUAGAGGCCGAAGAGGAGCAGGAGGGAGGAACCUCCACCCUGAAUCAGAGAACCACACAUCGAACCUGACCCACCUCACACAGAGAUCCAAGCCAACAUGCCUUCACUGGAAGAUGUUUCAUAUCAGUGUGCAUCCCGCCACACCAGAUGUAGUGGCGGAGGAGGAAGAUGUAGAGGUGCCUCAGCAGGGGUCGAAGGUGGAGGCGGAGGAUCCAAGGCAGGAAGCAGAGAACGAGACAGAGGACGACAAAGUCCUUCAGAAUUCAGGAGCCAAGCACCAGCUUCCCAAGUCUCCUAGAACAUCCCUCGGAUCCCACCCAUUAUUGAGUUCAGUAGAACAGAAGGUAGAAACUCCCAGAUAGAGGUUUCCCUUGAGGCCCCCCCAUUUCUCCCAGAAGUGAUGAUAAGCAGCUGACAUCAAUGGAUGAUGGCAUGGCCAGAGAAGUUGGAGUCUUGAUUAUGGAGGAUACAGGGCCCAGGCUCGAGAGCUCCCAGGCAGAUUAGGAAGAGGCUUCCAUGUCUCCUCCCUGGACCUCCUCAAUGUCCACCUCUUGAACAUCAGACUCUGGGGCCUCAUCUUCACUGUCACUUUCCAACCUUGUUGAGGAUGGCUUGUUGUCAGGCUCAAAAAGCCUAAAAUUUGCCCAGAUGGACACCAAUUUUUCAACCCUUGUAUUGGUCAGCCUGUUGCAUGCUUUGGUGUGUGUUCCCAAACAAGGACCAGUUGCGCUCUGAGGAGGCUGAUGUUGGUGGGAUUUGGAGGAUGAUGGAGGCAACAGGGAAAGAGCCUCAGAUCCACAAAGUCCCUUCCACCAGGUGGCUGAUGAGAUCUGUUGGCACCACUGCCAUAUUGCAUCUCCAUCCCAAAGCCCUUGCUUGGAAGUGUACUUCGCCAGACUGCCAAGAACCUUGCCCUCAUCCAGUCCAAGGUGGCGAGACACGGUAGUGAUGACACCAUAGGCCUUGUUGAUCUCUGCACCAGACAGGAUGCUCUUGCCAGCAUACUUGGAGUCCAACGUGUACGUUGUGGCAUGUAUGGGCUUCAGGCAGAAGCCUUCACACUUUUUGAUUUAUUUCAGAACUGCAGUUUCCUGUGCUUGGAGCAACAGUGAAGUGGACAGGGCAGUACGGUGUUCUUCUCUUACAUCUACAAGCAGAGUCUGAACAUCAGACAGGAUGGCAUUGUCUCCUAUCAGAUUGUCUCUAUAGACCACUGAGGUACUCUGUAUGUGAAUCUCUGUCUGUAAUUGCAUUUUACUACUAAAGAGUUUUAUACCAAGGUGUCUGUGUCUUAUCUGGAAGACUGAUUGUUAAAGGAAACUUAUAUCACCACAUGCAAAGGACCACCCAACAGUAUCCAUUGUUUUCAGGGCCAUGAUGUCCUUGAGGAGCAGAUUCCAUGCAUGAGCAGCACAGCCAAUGGGUGUGAUGUGAGGGUAGGAUUCCUCCACUUUAUACCAAGCAGCCUUCAAGUUCGCAGCAUUGUCUGUCACCAGUGCAAAUACCUUCUGUGGUCCAAGGUCAUUGAUGACUGCCUUAAGCUCAUCUGCAAUGUAGAGACCGGUGUGUCUGUUGUCCCUUGUCUGUGCUCUUGUAGAAUACUGGUUGAGGGGUGGAGAUGAUAGGGCUAAUUAUUCCUUGCCCACGAACACUCGACCACCCAUCAGAUGAUUGCAAUAGUCUGCUUUCUCUAUGAUUUGCUUGACCUUCACUUGAACUCUGAACUCUGCAUCCAGCAAAUGAGUACAUAAAGCAUGUCUGGUUGGAGGGGUGUAUGCUCCGUGAAGAACAUUCAGAAAUCUCUUCCAAUACACAUUGCCUGUGAGCAUUAGAGGUGAACCAGUUGCAUGCACAGCUUGAGAAAGACAUUCAUCAGUAUUUCUCUGACUACGUUCCUCCAUUGAGUCAAAAAAACUUUGAUUCAAGGAGGACCAUGAGCUGUUUCUAUCAAUAAGAUGUCUGAUUCAUCAUUUUCACCUCGAAUAGAAGUAGAGGGUCUUUUGUCAGAGGUUGCUUGUUGUGAAUGCUAAGGGAACUUUAUGCACUUGGCCAGAUGAUUCUUGCAUUCUUCACAUGAUUUGGCACAGUAUUUGAAAAUGUACACAGCUUUUCAUUCUACAUGAGCUGCAGUGAAAUAUCUCCACACAUUUCCUGUAGACAUUAGGGGGAAAAAGAGUUUAAAAAACAACCAAUACAAUUCCAUGUACCGGUAAAUAGUUAAGCAGUUAGAUUUAAACAACCCCUUUAAGAUUUUUUAAAAAAUGAAACGUAUGAAAACAGGUGAAUUAACACUGUUAGCAGGCUCAAGCAAGCUAAACCCCACAUGGUAUCAAAAACUAACUAGCAGAAAUUGUUAAGUUAGAA